GUGCCAGCCGCCGCGGUAAUACGGAGGGUGCAAGCGUUAAUCGGAAUUACUGGGCGUAAAGCGCGCGUAGGCGGUCGAGUAAGUCAGAUGUGAAAGCCCUGGGCUUAACCUGGGAACUGCAUUUGGAACUGGCAGGCUAGAGUACAGAAGAGGGUGGUGGAAUUUCCUGUGUAGCGGUGAAAUGCGUAGAUAUAGGAAGGAACAUCAGUGGCGAAGGCGGCCACCUGGUCUGAUACUGACGCUGAGGUGCGAAAGCGUGGGGAGCAAACAGGAUUAGAAACCCUAGUAGUCC
RNAcentral lists this ribosomal RNA (292 nucleotides) under uncultured bacterium. RNAcentral's name for it is "partial 16S ribosomal RNA". It matches the Rfam family "Bacterial small subunit ribosomal RNA", at positions 505 to 796 of the family's 1533-position model. The record is from RNAcentral.